CACGUAGGGUGCGAGCGUUGUCCGGAAUUAUUGGGCGUAAAGAGCUCGUAGGCGGUGUGUCGCGUCGGCCGUGAAAACCUGCAGCUUAACUGUGGGCUUGCGGUCGAUACGGGCAUCACUGGAGUUCGGCAGGGGAGACUGGAAUUCCCGGUGUAGUGGUGAAAUGCGUAGAGAUCGGGAGGAACACCUGUGGCGAAGGCGGCCGACUGGGCCGACCCUGACGCUGAGGCGCGAAGGCGUGGGGAGCGAACGGG
RNAcentral lists this ribosomal RNA (254 nucleotides) under uncultured bacterium. RNAcentral's name for it is "partial 16S ribosomal RNA". It matches the Rfam family "Bacterial small subunit ribosomal RNA", at positions 524 to 776 of the family's 1533-position model. The record is from RNAcentral.